This 304-nucleotide ribosomal RNA is filed under the name uncultured prokaryote. Its description in RNAcentral is "bacterial SSU rRNA". It matches the Rfam family "Bacterial small subunit ribosomal RNA", at positions 355 to 658 of the family's 1533-position model. The record is from RNAcentral.
UGAGGAAUAUUGGUCAAUGGGGGCAACCCUGAACCAGCGACGCCGCGUGAAGGAUGACAGGGCUUUGCCCCGUAAACUUCUGUCGGGAGGGAAAAAAGGACUGUUUGGCGGUCUGGGAUUGUACCUCUAAAGGAAGCACCGGCUAACUACGUGCCAGCAGCAGCGGUAAUACGUAGGGUGCCAACGUUGUCCGGCAUUACUGGGUGUAAAGGGUGCACAGGCGGUUUUGUGCGUCAGAGGUAAAAUCCCACAGCUCAACGGUGGACCUGUCGUUGAUACGGCGAGACUUGAGUACAAGAGAGGA